RNAcentral lists this ribosomal RNA (206 nucleotides) under uncultured bacterium. RNAcentral describes it as "partial 16S ribosomal RNA". It matches the Rfam family "Bacterial small subunit ribosomal RNA", at positions 568 to 774 of the family's 1533-position model. The record is from RNAcentral.
CGCGCAGGCGGUCUUGUCCGUCAGGUGUGAAAGCUCGGGGCUCAACCCCGGAAGUGCACUGAAACAGCAAGACUUGAAUACGGGAGAGGAGAGAGGAAUUCCUGGUGUAGAGGUGAAAUUCGUAGAUAUCAGGAGGAACACCGAUGGCGAAGGCAUCUCUCUGGACCGAUAUUGACGCUGAGGCGCGAAGGCGUGGGUAGCGAACG